Molecule: transfer RNA, 73 nt
Filed under: Cotesia glomerata
Lineage: Eukaryota; Metazoa; Arthropoda; Insecta; Hymenoptera; Braconidae
Description: tRNA-Thr
Rfam family: tRNA
About the family: Transfer RNA (tRNA) molecules are approximately 80 nucleotides in length. Their secondary structure includes four short double-helical elements and three loops (D, anti-codon, and T loops).
Source: RNAcentral
GACCGGGUAGCUCAAAUGGUAGAGCAGCCGACAUGUCCCCAGGAGGUUCUGGGUUCGAAUCCCAGUCCGAGCA